GUGGGGAAUCUUGCACAAUGGGCGAAAGCCUGAUGCAGCGACGCCGCGUGGGGGAUGAAGCUUUUCGGAGUGUAAACCCCUUUCGACCCGGACGAAUGCCCCGCAAGGGGACUGACGGUACGGGUAUAAGAAGCCCCGGCUAACUACGUGCCAGCAGCCGCGGUAAGACGUGGGGGGCCAGCGUUGCUCGGAAUUACUGGGUGUAAAGGGUUCGUAGGCGGUGUAGCAAGUCGGGAGUGAAAUCUCUGGGCUCAACCCAGAGACUGCUUCCGAAACUGCUGUGCUUGAGUGUGGGAGAGGCGCGUGGAAUUGCAGGUGUAGCGGUGAAAUGCGUAGAUAUCUGCAGGAACACCCGUGGCGAAAGCGGCGCGCUGGACCACUACUGACGCUGAGGAACGAAAGCUAGGGGAGCAAACAGGAUUAGAUACCCGAGUAGUCC
RNAcentral lists this ribosomal RNA (439 nucleotides) under uncultured bacterium. Its description in RNAcentral is "bacterial SSU rRNA". It matches the Rfam family "Bacterial small subunit ribosomal RNA", at positions 354 to 796 of the family's 1533-position model. The record is from RNAcentral.